Molecule: long non-coding RNA, 4035 nt
Organism: Triticum dicoccoides
Lineage: Eukaryota; Viridiplantae; Streptophyta; Magnoliopsida; Poales; Poaceae
Exons: 7
Source: RefSeq, a predicted model, not a curated record
UCCUUCUCCCCUUCCCAGCCGCUCACCCCACCGCCCCUCCCGUCCCGCUCGCCUUGGCUGAUGACCGCGCCAUCAUCGACGGCAGCGGUGAGCAUCGGAGCAGCGGUUGUGGCUGGAUGCGAAGAGCUUGCCUCCGGCGGCAGAGGGAACCUGCACACAGAGGGCGACCCCACAGAUUCGUCCCUGCAGAAGAGAAGAUGUGGAGGGAGGAUAGGAUGAGGUAGGCGUGCUGGGGCGGGGUGGUCUCGUCGGCCGCCGGCGACGGCAGAGCGGGCCGGCCGGAGUUGGAUCGAGAUCCCGGCUGGCACCCCAUGGCAGGCAGCGGCAGGAAGGUGGCGUGCGCGGCGUGGAUCCGGCACCGGGAGGACAAGGCCACCCACGUCUUCGUCGUGUACGGCUGGCCCUCCCUGCCGGCCCUGAUGGUUCCCGGCUUCGACUCCGUGAGCUGCUGGCUUUCCGAGGAGCCCCUUGCGAGGACUGUGCUCAGGGAGGACCCACACGACACGCCGCUCGCCAUCGCCGUGCACCCCACCGGCGACGAGCUCAUGUGUAUCACGGCCAAGGGGUGCAGAGCACGACGCCGUCGGGGAGGACGGCAUCGGCAUGCCCGUGUUCACGGUGUACAGUCUCGACGAGCUCCUCGCCGCCACCAACGGCUUCACCAUGGACCACAUCGUCUCCGAGCAUGGCGAGAAGGCGCCCAACAUCCUCUACCGCAGCACCCUCUUUGGCCCUGACCUAGCGUUGCCAGGGUCCGCCUCGGCCAUGGCGAGGUAACUACGGUCCACUAGUCAUCAGCACGGCCUGUCGAGGUACUUGCUCAUGACGUAGCGCGUGCUGCGUCGCACCAAGCUCAGGCCACCCGUUCAACUGUGGGCCGCCGCCGGAGUUCAAGCUCCACACGCCAAGCUCCUUCGACACAGAGACUCGCAGUUAAACAAGAGGAAUUAGAUGCUGGUUUUGAUGUUAAUGCUAACUAUAUAACUCAAGUUGAUGCCAGCAAUGAUGUUGAUGGCCCACCACUCUUUUACAAGCGCAAAAAAACAUACCACAACACUCUGUCCCCACCAGCGCCUCCCUCUCCUCCUUCCCCGCCGCCGCUCGGCUUCCUCCCCUCAUGGCCUCCUCCUUCCACCCCUCCGAUCUGGCGCCUCCCAAACCCUAACGCCUGGCCCCGGCUCCGGCUCCCACGUGAGGGAAGGAGGAAUGGUGAGGCGAGGCAAAGGCGGUGGCGUAUGGGACGCAGCGUGGGGGGUCGGCCUCCUCCUCCCCUACUCCCUCGCCGAUGCCGACGAGGACCGUCAUGGCCGGCGGACUGCUGGUCGUCGAUCCGGUGCCUCGGCCUCCUGCAGCUCCUCCGACCAUCGCUCCCGACAAGGACCCGGCCGAGGUGUUCCGUCCUCUCCUCUCCUCUCAUUCCCCUGCGCAACUGUAAGUGCUUGUGUGCAAAUCAAGUCAAUCUUGCUCUUGUUCAAUAACCAUGGAGGUAAUUAAAAUAGCCAGAUCUUUUCUUAUAGUACUGGAAGUUUUGUUAGUGCCAUGCAACUGCAUACACAGAUGUGGUAUUUUCCAGUUGAAAGGUAGCAAUGUCUAAAGUUAAAUGGUUUCCAUAUAGUGAACUUCAUUGUUUGGCUAAUGGUUAUUUUAACUUAAAUGACCUGGUAAUUGAUGCAAAUCUGUUAUCACCCUUUAUCUUAAAAAAUUGUUGCAUGUUAUCACCCUUUAUCUUAAAAAAUUGUUGCAUGCUCGUGUUUUGUGCUUACAUGUAAGGUUCAUGUGCCUGGUAUUCUUUCAGGUUAUUGUCAGCUGAUAGAUAGGAAUUUAGAGGAAGCAACUUAUAAAUGGGGGGCAAUGAUGUUACUGUUUCUUUUCCUUUUAUUAGCAUGCAUGCCAGGGCUGACUGCCUUGUGCGUAUCAUGGUGAGGAGUAGCAGCAGUACGUCGGCUCGGUCCCAAUGGCAAUGCUGUUUGUUAUUUUGUAUUAUUCAACCACAUAUGUAUGUCUCUUUCUCAUGGCCAUGGUAACUUGAAAAUCUUUAGUGCCAUAUUUGCUCGCUCUGCCGAGCACUGUGGAGGAGGCAAGGGGCCGUUAGGGAGUAAAUCAAACAUUUGAUGAGUGCCGCACGCCCGCAUUCGAUGUCGGAGAGGUCAGAUCACUGCAUUUUUAUGGUGCCACAAAAAUUGUUUUAUUUUCCUCAAUUGCAGCUCCAGCUCUUCUCAUUGCACAUAUGAUGCUCACUUUCACAGAUAUAUUAGGGGGGAAAUCGAUCUCGAAAAUGAUAUAACCAGUCUAUACUAUUGCAUCUAAUCAAUGGCCGAAAGAUUUAAAAAACCAACCUACACUAUUGCUUUUAAAAAACAGGCUGUUUACCAAAGUUAUUAUCUAAGAUGUGAUCAAUGCCCAAGUUACUAUCUAAGAUGUAAUCAAUGCUUUAUUUUGGGUCUGACUGAGUCAAAGAUAAUAGUGCAUGAAGCUUUAUGUGGUUUGCUAUCUAAGAUGUAUGGAAAAUAGGGUACUUGGACCAUUUUGGGUUGGCCCUGUAUCUGGUUUGCUUACUCGAUAUUGACCUCACUGCCACUAUGCCUGCUUCUGAAACUCUUUAGCACAGAACUAUAUGCUCUGUUGCUCUUAAUAAUCAGGCUAAAUGCUUUUGCUUUGUACCGAACUUUAUGCCCUGCUGCACUUGCUAAAUCCUUAUGCUUAAUCGUUUGCAUUUGAACAAAGGUCUACUAUUCUUACUCAUUUGAUGCCUAAUUUAUAUGGUUUGCACCAUUGUAUGCCAUUGAAGAACCAUAUGAAUAAGUUAUCUUGGACUACUGCUAUGAUUUGCUUUUGGUGUACCGUGCUAUCUUUUGAACAGAGGGAUACAACUCUUACUCAUUUGCCACCUAAUUUAUAUGGACCACUGAUUUAUAUGUUUCUUUAUGGCAUAGCAGAAGUGUCCUGCUAGGAACCAAUCCCUAAUUUAUAUGGUUUUUCUAUGCUAUCUUUUGAAGUAGGUGAAGGCGUCUGUCUGAAAGAAAGUGCUAUGCUUUGGUGUUGUUAUAGGUUCCAGAGGGGGCUGAAGAGGAAGCCAUUGGUUUUUAGAAUAUCACAAAAAUGUUCAGUUUUAGUGUCCAGUUCACUGCCAAUUCUCUUACGGCUUUUGUCGUGACCAUGCAAAUCAAUUAUCCCGUGGAUUGACUAUGCCUUGCUUACCUUGCAUUGGGUUUAUUUUGUUGUUUGUGAUAUGGUAAACUCAUCUAUCGUGGAUGGUUACUUUGAUUUUUUAGAUGUAAAUAGUUUCUCAAACCUUCCUACUAACUUCACCAUUACCUGCUUAAUUACAACGUUUGGACCGGAACCUUCGCACCAAGGCGCACAGCCGGCUCCCCGCAAGUACACCUACGCCGCCGCCUCCCCGGGGGGCUGCAAGGUGAAGUGGACGGCCGAGGAGAAGCCGCACGGCGGGACCGGGCUCUCAUGUGGGAGGCGGAGCUCGCCUCCCCCCAACGACGUCAGCUUUGAUCACAAGUGGAAGUGGGAGCCCAAGUCCAAGCCCAGUGCCGCCGGCAAGGCCAAGACCAAGCUCGAGGAAGCCAGUGAGGAUGACAAGAAUAAGCCAGCGAGGAAGUGCACACAGAUCGAGGAGGUCCUCACAGGCUGCGACGCCAUCCGCAAGGAUGAUGACUAUCUAAUGGUGAUUCCCUAUUCCCACAUUUUUUGCCCUCAUGUUGCAAGCUCUAAAGCUGCCCCUGCAAUUUACCAUCACAAGACAUGUCUGGGCAGCAAGUCUCCUGUGACGGUUACUUUUAAUUCGUCAUUACAAUUGUUUGAUGGUUUGCUUGUUCCAACCUCGAUAUCUGCCUUUAGAUUCCCGUUGUUGUCUUUGUAGUGGAAGGUACCACUUGGUGGUAUGUUGCUAUUUUCACUUUGUUUUGAACAAGGCAUGUAUAGAUUUCAGAUUUUAAUUCCUAUCUCUCUGUCGUAAAAAGUAAUGUAUGGUCCUGUGUUUUACCUCUGGUCGUAUGAAAGCACCGAACUUGAUUCUGUUCA